Molecule: non-coding RNA, 71 nt
Organism: Cutaneotrichosporon spelunceum
Lineage: Eukaryota; Fungi; Basidiomycota; Tremellomycetes; Trichosporonales; Trichosporonaceae
Source: the annotation of a GenBank genome assembly
GUCCUUAUAGCUUAAUGGCAGAGCAGGAUACUGUUAAUAUCAAGGCGAAAGUUCGAUUCUUUCUUGGGACU